GAUUCCCCCAGUAGCGGCGAGCGAACGGGGAGCAGCCCAGAGCCUGAAUCAGUGUGUGUGUUAGUGGAAGCGUCUGGAAAGGCGUGCGAUACAGGGUGACAGCCCCGUACACAAAAAUGCACAUAUUGUGAGCUCGAUGAGUAGGGCGGGACACGUGGUAUCCUGUCUGAAUAUGGGGGGACCAUCCUCCAAGGCUAAAUACUCCUGACUGACCGAUAGUGAACCAGUACCGUGAGGGAAAGGCGAAAAGAACCCCGGCGAGGGGAGUGAAAAAGAACCUGAAACCGUGUACGUACAAGCAGUGGGAGCACGCUUAGGCGUGUGACUGCGUACCUUUUGUAUAAUGGGUCAGCGACUUAUAUUCUGUAGCAAGGUUAACCGAAUAGGGGAGCCGAAGGGAAACCGAGUCUUAACUGGGCGUUAAGUUGCAGGGUAUAGACCCGAAACCCGGUGAUCUAGCCAUGGGCAGGUUGAAGGUUGGGUAACACUAACUGGAGGACCGAACCGACUAAUGUUGAAAAAUUAGCGGAUGACUUGUGGCUGGGGGUGAAAGGCCAAUCAAACCGGGAGAUAGCUGGUUCUCCCCGAAAGCUAUUUAGGUAGCGCCUCGUGAAUUCAUCUCCGGGGGUAGAGCACUGUUUCGGCAAGGGGGUCAUCCCGACUUACCAACCCGAUGCAAACUGCGAAUACC
This 691-nucleotide ribosomal RNA is filed under the name Escherichia coli. Its description in RNAcentral is "partial 23S ribosomal RNA". It matches the Rfam family "Bacterial large subunit ribosomal RNA", at positions 233 to 964 of the family's 2925-position model. The record is from RNAcentral. Lineage: Bacteria; Pseudomonadati; Pseudomonadota; Gammaproteobacteria; Enterobacterales; Enterobacteriaceae.